RNAcentral lists this ribosomal RNA (255 nucleotides) under uncultured bacterium. Its description in RNAcentral is "partial 16S ribosomal RNA". It matches the Rfam family "Bacterial small subunit ribosomal RNA", at positions 74 to 334 of the family's 1533-position model. The record is from RNAcentral.
CAAACCAAAGCUGGCGACCGGCGCACGGGUGAGUAACACGUAUCCAACCUGCCUCAUACUCGGGGAUAGCCUUUCGAAAGAAAGAUUAAUAUCCGAUAGCAUAUAUUUCCCGCAUGGGUUUUAUAUUAAAGAAAUUCGGUAUGGGAUGGGGAUGCGUUCCAUUAGUUUGUUGGGGGGGUAACGGCCCACCAAGACUACGAUGGAUAGGGGUUCUGAGAGGAAGGUCCCCCACAUUGGAACUGAGACACGGUCCAA